AUGCUCUCUCUGGAAAAGACCUCGGAUACCAUUGUUGUACCUCUGUUUUGUAAUGAAGGGAAGUAACGUAACCAAGUUUAUAAAAGUGAUUUUAACACCUUUUCUUUCCACUUGAGAGUGUCCACAUACUAGAAAGGUCAACACGCAGGAUCCCGGUGGAAGAGCAAUCAUGCCUCGAUAUAGAGCUCACUAUGAAAUGAGUCCAUCACCAAAGCAGAAGGGAGAGAGCUUUCAAUGGAGGAAACGAUGAUUAUCACUUUCCCAUAUCACGAGCUACUUUCCAAGGUGAGCGACAGAAAAUUCUAGCUGCACCAAAGACCAGUGAAGAGUUACCACCAGCUUAGUGCUCUGACUUGUCCAUUGGCAAUCUAGUCAAUCCAUGUCAGGCCUUAAGCUGGAGGGCGUGUUCGUGUCUACAGCUUGUGCUUACAGUUUCUGUGUCUAGCAGAUAUUUUUCACACGAAAUGUUGGGGCAAUGAGAAUGCAAAGGGCUUGCUUUCCAGCAAACAUGGUUUUCUUCAAGCAAGAUGCGUACCUUACAAGGCAGUCUGUGCCCUUGAUCGUUUUAGUCAGAGCAGAUGGAGCACGCUCUUCUCCACAGAUGUCUUUAUAACUGUUUGUGGUUUUAUUUUUGUCUUUCCACAAAAUGUUAUGCGAAAAGCAAAAUAAAGUAAUAUC
This is a long non-coding RNA of Equus caballus (horse), 678 nucleotides long. RefSeq lists it as uncharacterized. The record is from RefSeq and is a predicted model, not a curated record. Lineage: Eukaryota; Metazoa; Chordata; Mammalia; Perissodactyla; Equidae.